CAGGGCUUUCGUCUUGUAAUUGGAAUGAUGGUGAUGUACAACCUCACCAGAGUACCAAUUGGAGGGCAAGUCUGGUGCCAGCAGCCGCGGUAAUUCCAGCUCCAAUAGCGUAUAUUAAACUUGUUGCAGUUAAAAAGCUCGUAGUUGUAUUUCAGCCUCGCGUUUUUUCCCUGGUUUUGGGUCUUUUCGCUGGCUUUUUUUUUACUUUGAGAAAAUUAGAGUGUUUCAAGCAGACUUUUGUCUUGAAUACUUCAGCAUGGAAUAAUAGAGUAGGACCUUGGUUCUAUUUUGUUGGUUUCGAGCCUUGGUAAUGGUUAAUAGGAACGGUUGGGGGCAUUCGUAUUUAACUGUCAGAGGUGAAAUUCUUAGAUUUGUUAAAGACGAACCACUGCGAAAGCAUUUGCCAAGGACGUUUUCAUUAAUCAAGAAC
Molecule: ribosomal RNA, 430 nt
Filed under: Babesia bigemina
Lineage: Eukaryota; Apicomplexa; Aconoidasida; Piroplasmida; Babesiidae
Description: partial small subunit ribosomal RNA
Rfam family: Eukaryotic small subunit ribosomal RNA
Source: RNAcentral